RNAcentral lists this ribosomal RNA (491 nucleotides) under uncultured bacterium. RNAcentral describes it as "partial 16S ribosomal RNA". It matches the Rfam family "Bacterial small subunit ribosomal RNA", at positions 29 to 506 of the family's 1533-position model. The record is from RNAcentral.
AGUGAACGCUGGCGGUAGGCCUAACACAUGCAAGUCGAACGGCAGCACAGUAAGAGCUUGCUCUUACGGGUGGCGAGUGGCGGACGGGUGAGGAAUACAUCGGAAUCUACUUUUUCGUGGGGGAUAACGUAGGGAAACUUACGCUAAUACCGCAUACGACCUACGGGUGAAAGCAGGGGAUCUUCGGACCUUGCGCGAUUGAAUGAGCCGAUGUCGGAUUAGCUAGUUGGCGGGGUAAAGGCCCACCAAGGCGACGAUCCGUAGCUGGUCUGAGAGGAUGAUCAGCCACACUGGAACUGAGACACGGUCCAGACGCCUACGGGAGGCAGCAGUGGGGAAGAUUGGACAAUGGGCGCAAGCCUGAUCCAGCCAGACCGCGUGGGUGAAGAAGGCCUUCGGGUUGUAAAGCCCUUUUGUUGGGAAAGAAAAGCAGCAGGUUAAUACCCCGCUGUUCGGACGGUACCCAAAGAAUAAGCACCGGCUAACUUCGU